GCGGCUUGUUGCGUCAGCUGUGAAAACCCGCAGCUCAACUGUGGGCUUGCAGCUGAUACGGGCAGGCUUGAGUUCGGUAGGGGAGACUGGAAUUCCUGGUGUAGCGGCGAAAUGCGCAGAUAUCAGGAGGAACACCGGUGGGGAAGGCGGGUCUCUGGGCCGAUACUGACGCUGAGGAGCGAAAGCGUGGGGAGCGAACAGGAUUAGAUACCCUGGUAGUCCACGCUGUAAACGUUGGGCGCUAGGUGUGGGGGGCCUCUCCGGUUCUCUGUGCCGCAGCUAACGCAUUAAGCGCCCCGCCUGGGGAGUACGGCCGCAAGGCUAAAACUCAAAGGAAUUGACGGGGGCCCGCACAAGCGGCGGAGCAUGCGGAUUAAUUCGAUGCAACGCGAAGAACCUUACCUGGGUUUGGCAUGGGCGCUGAAGCCGCAAAGAUGUGGUGUCCUUCGGGGGCGUUCACAGGUGGUGCAUGGCUGUCGUCAGCUCGUGUCGUGAGGUGUUGGGUUAAGUCCCGCAACGAGCGCAACCCUUGUUCGAUGUUGCCAGCGG
RNAcentral lists this ribosomal RNA (549 nucleotides) under uncultured Dactylosporangium sp. Its description in RNAcentral is "bacterial SSU rRNA". It matches the Rfam family "Bacterial small subunit ribosomal RNA", at positions 575 to 1124 of the family's 1533-position model. Lineage: Bacteria; Bacillati; Actinomycetota; Actinomycetes; Micromonosporales; Micromonosporaceae. The record is from RNAcentral.